Molecule: ribosomal RNA, 354 nt
Filed under: uncultured soil bacterium
Lineage: Bacteria
Description: bacterial SSU rRNA
Rfam family: Bacterial small subunit ribosomal RNA
Source: RNAcentral
CAGCCGCGGUAAUACGUAGGGUGCAAGCGUUGUCCGGAUUUAUUGGGCGUAAAGAGCUCGUAGGCGGUCAGUCGCGUCGGCCGUGAAAGCCCGAGGCUCAACCUCGGAAUUGCGGUCGAUACGGGCUGACUAGAGUUCGGUAGGGGAGACUGGAACUCCUGGUGUAGCGGUGAAAUGCGCAGAUAUCAGGAGGAACACCGGUGGCGAAGGCGGGUCUCUGGGCCGAUACUGACGCUGAGGAGCGAAAGCGUGGGGAGCAAACAGGAUUAGAUACCCUGGUAGUCCACGCCGUAAACGUUGGGCGCUAGGUGUGGGCUCCAUUCCACGGAGUCUGUGCCGCAGCUAACGCAUUAA